CAUCUUGCUUAUGCAGACUGCUCUUUAGCUGUGGUUUCUUAUCUUCAGAACUCUGCAGAUGCUGAUGGGAGACCUUUAACUCUGAAGGACAUAUGGGAAGGAGUUCAUGAGUGCUAUAAGAUGCGACUGCUACAGGGACCAUGGGACACUAUUACACAACAGGAACAUCCAAUACUUGGGCAACCCUUUUUUGUACUUCAUCCCUGCAAGACGAAUGAAUUCAUGACUCCUGUAUUAAAGAAUUCUCAGAAAAUCAAUAAGGCCAAAAGAGAAACAUUGGCUACUUUGACAACCUUAAAGCGGACUCCAGGAAUAUCACCAACGGCAUGACCUUUGCGACCAAAUCCAGCAACCAGAACUUCAUCAUUUUCCUGGAAUAAAAUAAGAAGUUUAUUUCUGGUGUCGGUGGCGAU
Molecule: small RNA, 413 nt
Filed under: Pan troglodytes (chimpanzee)
Lineage: Eukaryota; Metazoa; Chordata; Mammalia; Primates; Hominidae
Description: processed transcript
Source: RNAcentral